RNAcentral lists this ribosomal RNA (510 nucleotides) under uncultured bacterium. Its description in RNAcentral is "bacterial SSU rRNA". It matches the Rfam family "Bacterial small subunit ribosomal RNA", at positions 36 to 518 of the family's 1533-position model. The record is from RNAcentral.
CUGGCGGCGUGCCUAAUACAUGCAAGUCGAACGGUCUUUCUAUGGAAGCUUGCUUCCACUGAGAAGAUAGUGGCGAACGGGUGAGUAACACGUGGGUAACCUGCCCAUAAGAGGGGGAUAACAUCCGGAAACGGGUGCUAAUACCGCAUAGUUUUCUUGAUCGCAUGAUUGAGAAAGGAAAGACGGCCUUUGUGCUGUCGCUUAUGGAUGGACCCGCGGCGUAUUAGUUAGUUGGUGAGGUAACGGCUCACCAAGACGAUGAUACGUAGCCGACCUGAGAGGGUGAUCGGCCACAUUGGGACUGAGACACGGCCCAAACUCCUACGGGAGGCAGCAGUAGGGAAUCUUCCGCAAUGGACGAAAGUCUGACGGAGCAACGCCGCGUGAGUGAAGAAAAGGUUUUCGGAUCGUAAAACUCUGUUGUCAGAGAAGAACAAGUUGGAGAGUAACUGCUCCAGCCUUGACGGUAUCUGACCAGAAAGCCACGGCUAACUACGUGCCAGCAGCGGC